This 77-nucleotide transfer RNA is filed under the name Myoviridae sp. ctCo31. RNAcentral's name for it is "tRNA-Cys". It matches the Rfam family "tRNA". From Rfam's summary of the family: Transfer RNA (tRNA) molecules are approximately 80 nucleotides in length. Their secondary structure includes four short double-helical elements and three loops (D, anti-codon, and T loops). Lineage: Duplodnaviria; Heunggongvirae; Uroviricota; Caudoviricetes. The record is from RNAcentral.
GGCUAGUUGGCGGAGUGGUCUAAUGCGGUGGAUUGCAAAUCCAUUAUUCGUUGGUUCGAAUCCAACACUGGUCUCCA